RNAcentral lists this non-coding RNA (487 nucleotides) under Dactylellina haptotyla CBS 200.50. RNAcentral describes it as "Eukaryotic small subunit ribosomal RNA". It matches the Rfam family "Eukaryotic small subunit ribosomal RNA", at positions 493 to 985 of the family's 1831-position model. Lineage: Eukaryota; Fungi; Ascomycota; Orbiliomycetes; Orbiliales; Orbiliaceae. The record is from Rfam by way of RNAcentral.
CUUUUGGGUCUUGUAAUUGGAAUGAGUACAAUUUAAAUCCCUUAACGAGGAACAAUUGGAGGGCAAGUCUGGUGCCAGCAGCCGCGGUAAUUCCAGCUCCAAUAGCGUAUAUUAAAGUUGUUGCAGUUAAAAAGCUCGUAGUUGAACCUUGGGUCUGGCUGCUCGGUCCGCCUAACCGCGUGCACUGAUGCGGCCGGAUCUUUCCUUCUGGCUAACCUCAUGUCCUUUACUGGGUGUGUUGGGGAUCCAGGACUUUUACUUUGAAAAAAUUAGAGUGUUCAAAGCAGGCCUACGCUCGAAUACAUUAGCAUGGAAUAAUAGAAUAGGACGGCGGUUCUAUUUUGUUGGUUUCUAGAGCCACCGUAAUGAUUAAUAGGGAUAGUCGGGGGCAUCAGUAUUCAAUUGUCAGAGGUGAAAUUCUUGGAUUUAUUGAAGACUAACUACUGCGAAAGCAUUUGCCAAGGAUGUUUUCAUUAAUCAGUGAACG